ACGCUCGUUCAGGAGCCGUUUCCCGGUGAUUGGCCCCGCAUCCGGUGGGACCGUGCGAGGCUCAGGAGCGCCGUCGCGGGCGACCGGGACGCGGGAUACCGUCGGCGCAGUCCUCGCGGUCCUCGCCCUCGGGCUCGCCCUCCGCCUCAUCAUCGCAUACCUGCUUCCGGGGUCCGGGUUCGCGACCGACCUGGGCGCGUUCGACUUCUGGGCCCGCGACCUGGCUGCCCACGGCCCGUUCGGGUUCUACGAGCGGACGUUCUUCCACGACUACACGC
This 278-nucleotide unclassified non-coding RNA is filed under the name uncultured bacterium. RNAcentral's name for it is "contains 16S-23S intergenic spacer region". The record is from RNAcentral.